GAAUAAUUAAAAAUAAUUAAAUUAAACAGAAUUAAAUUAAAUUAAACUUAAAUAAAUGUCUUUUGCACUUUGAACGGUUGUGUCUUUUAAUCGCAACUUUCUGUAAAAAAUAUUGACGGUUGUUUUUUCUCGCUUGUGUCUUUUAUUGCAACUUUCCUAUAUUGUAAUUUUCUGUCAAAAUAUUUACGGUUAUUUUUUCUGGUUAGUUAUAUAUAUACUAUUGAAUAAUUACGAAAUUUAUAAUAUGCAUCAUUUGGAGUUAC
This 263-nucleotide small RNA is filed under the name Arabidopsis thaliana (thale cress). Its description in RNAcentral is "ATSL006830". Lineage: Eukaryota; Viridiplantae; Streptophyta; Magnoliopsida; Brassicales; Brassicaceae. The record is from RNAcentral.